Molecule: non-coding RNA, 77 nt
Organism: Podospora conica
Lineage: Eukaryota; Fungi; Ascomycota; Sordariomycetes; Sordariales; Podosporaceae
Source: the annotation of a GenBank genome assembly
GGUCGUAUGGUGUAGUUGGUUAUCACGUCAGUCUAACACACUGAAGGUCCACAGAUCGAGCACAGUGUGUACGAUCA